RNAcentral lists this ribosomal RNA (497 nucleotides) under uncultured bacterium. RNAcentral describes it as "partial 16S ribosomal RNA". It matches the Rfam family "Bacterial small subunit ribosomal RNA", at positions 28 to 507 of the family's 1533-position model. The record is from RNAcentral.
GAUGAACGCUGGCGGCGUGCCUAAUACAUGCAAGUCGAGCGAAUAGACGAGGAGCUUGCUCCUCUGACGUUAGCGGCGGAUGGGUGAGUAACACGUGGAUAACCUACCUAUAAGACUGGGAUAACUUCGGGAAACCGGAGCUAAUACCGGAUAAUAUAUUGAACCGCAUGGUUCAAUAGUGAAAGACGGUUUUGCUGUCACUUAUAGAUGGAUCCGCGCCGCAUUAGCUAGUUGGUAAGGUAACGGCUUACCAAGGCAACGAUGCGUAGCCGACCUGAGAGGGUGAUCGGCCACACUGGAACUGAGACACGGUCCAGACUCCUACGGGAGGCAGCAGUAGGGAAUCUUCCGCAAUGGGCGAAAGCCUGACGGAGCAACGCCGCGUGAGUGAUGAAGGUCUUCGGAUCGUAAAACUCUGUUAUUAGGGAAGAACAAAUGUGUAAGUAACUAUGCACGUCUUGACGGUACCUAAUCAGAAAGCCACGGCUAACUACGUG